GACGAACGCUGGCGGCGUGCUUAACACAUGCAAGUCGAACGGAAAGGCCCUGCUUGCCGGGUACUCGAGUGGCGAACGGGUGAGUAACACGUGGGUGAUCUGCCCUGCACUUCGGGAUAAGCUUGGGAAACUGGGUCUAAUACCGGAUAGGACCGCACUUUAGUGUGUGUGGUGGAAAGUUUUUUCGGUGUAGGAUGAGCUCGCGGCCUAUCAGCUUGUUGGUGGGGUAAUGGCCUACCAAGGCGGCGACGGGUAGCCGGCCUGAGAGGGUGUACGGCCACAUUGGGACUGAGAUACGGCCCAGACGCCUACGGGAGGCAGCAGUGGGGAAUAUUGCACAAUGGGCGCAAGCCUGAUGCAGCGACGCCGCGUGGGGGAUGAAGGCCUUCGGGUUGUAAACUCCUUUCGCUAGGGACGAAGCUUUUUGUGACGGUACCUAGAUAAGAAGCACCGGCUAACUACGUG
This 465-nucleotide ribosomal RNA is filed under the name uncultured bacterium. RNAcentral's name for it is "partial 16S ribosomal RNA". It matches the Rfam family "Bacterial small subunit ribosomal RNA", at positions 28 to 507 of the family's 1533-position model. The record is from RNAcentral.